AGCGAACGCUGGCGGCAGGCCUAACACAUGCAAGUCGAACGAACUCUUCGGAGUUAGUGGCGGACGGGUGAGUAACACGUGGGAACGUGCCUUUAGGUUCGGAAUAACUCAGGGAAACUUGUGCUAAUACCGAAUGUGCCCUUCGGGGGAAAGAUUUAUCGCCUUUAGAGCGGCCCGCGUCUGAUUAGCUAGUUGGUGAGGUAAAGGCUCACCAAGGCGACGAUCAGUAGCUGAUCUGAGAGGAUGAUCAGCCACAUUGGGACUGAGACACGGCCCAAACUCCUACGGGAGGCAGCAGUGGGGAAUCUUGCGCAAUGGGCGAAAGCCUGACGCAGCCAUGCCGCGUGAAUGAUGAAGGUCUUAGGAUUGUAAAAUUCUUUCACCGGGGACGAUAAUGACGGUACCCGGAGAAGAAGCCCCGGCUAACUUCGUG
This 433-nucleotide ribosomal RNA is filed under the name uncultured bacterium. RNAcentral describes it as "partial 16S ribosomal RNA". It matches the Rfam family "Bacterial small subunit ribosomal RNA", at positions 29 to 507 of the family's 1533-position model. The record is from RNAcentral.